GGAUAUUUUAAGAAUUGUUUUGAUUGUCAAUGACUUUACAAGGAUACAUUGACGUCUCCUGCAUCGUGAGAAAUAAAGCCAUAGAAUACAUUCAUACCACUCAAAUUCAGCCAGUCAGAAUGAUGGGAAGGAUUGCAGAACUGAGUUUCACUCUCACCUGACUGAUGCAGAUUCAGUAACCUAAUUGCUCAUGAUGGUUUCUGAGAAAAAAACAGCUUGGUGUAAUUUGACAGUAUUUUUCAGUAUUUGACAGUGGUUCUAUCAUGCAACAGUCAUACCAUGAAGUGUCUCACAGAUUCUCUCUCAAUUCCUGCAAUAUCCAAGGUUAGAGUGUAGUAAAAAGAGGAUUAAUUUUCUUGCAAUAAGAAGUAUCUGCACUUCCAAAUACCCCUGUACAGCAUGAACAGUUUCUUCAUUUUUUUUGAGUGAUUAUAGAGUGAAAAUGUUUCCAUAUAAAAUGUUUUCUUUUUAUGUGUAAAACUUGUCAUGAAUGGUUACAAAUACAUGCAUGGACAUUAUGAUUCCAAAUUUAUGCACAUUUUGAUUCCAAUAAAGUAUUUUAAAUUUGGUUUGAAACAGAAAUAUUGUCCUUAUGUUUGUUUCUAAACAUUAUCUGGUAUUAUUCGUGUUUAUAGUUUCCAUGUCAAUUUAAA
Molecule: long non-coding RNA, 653 nt
Organism: Mya arenaria
Lineage: Eukaryota; Metazoa; Mollusca; Bivalvia; Myida; Myidae
Exons: 4
Source: RefSeq, a predicted model, not a curated record